This is a long non-coding RNA of Corvus hawaiiensis (hawaiian crow), 1197 nucleotides long. RefSeq lists it as uncharacterized. Lineage: Eukaryota; Metazoa; Chordata; Aves; Passeriformes; Corvidae. The transcript has 2 exons. The record is from RefSeq and is a predicted model, not a curated record.
GAAACAUUCAACAUUCCAGCUGCAAAGCUGCAAGGCCGAGCAGAUAAACAGUAAUGAGUAUUUUGGACCAAACCACUACAAUCCCCAUGUGGCUACACCUUCCUUUGAGGAUCACCUUUGAGCCUUCUCUUCUCUAGGCUAAACACCCCCAGCACCCUCAGUCACUCCUGAUAGGACUUGUGCUCCAGGCCAUUCACCAGCUUUGCUGCCUUUCCCUGGACACAUUCCAGCACCUCAACUGUCCUUCCUGAGCUGAAGCACCCUGAACUGGACACGGGACUUGAGACCUCACCAGCACGGACAACGGGGGAAGAAUCACUUCCCUGGUCCUGCUGAGCACACAACUCCUGAUACAGGCCAGGAUGCCAUUGGCUUUCUUGGUCAUCUGGGCACAGAAAUCAGCAUCCUGAAUAGGCCAAAAUCUGCCCUCUGCAGCUGAGGCUGCAUCUUCUCCCUUUUUCUGUUUCUUUCAACGCCUCUCAUUUCAGACCUGCCUGACCCUGAUUUGGUGCAGUGGGAACGUGACAUGAUGCCCAGGGCGGCACCAUGCAAAAGCCUACAUCCUCAAUUUUAGCCAUGCACCGACUUGUUUUUAUUUCAAUGGAGAGGCCUCACUGAAGGCACAACAUGUUCAUUACCACUGUAGCACUUUAUAAACAAAACAUCAACCUAAGGAUUAACUACAUAAACAUCUUGUUAAAUUUGCUGUCGUUAUUUCCUUGUGAUCUGAUGAUAACUGCAUAACAUAUUGCUAAUACUAAUUAUUAGUCUUGACAGAUUUGGCAUAUAUCAUGAUUUCUAUAUUCGCUUCCUGGCAUUAGCAUUUCCCUGCUUCCUGAUCCCCACUGACUUUGUGUUACCUAGAGAGCCUCCUGCUUUCUCCAGGGAAUUCCAUAGUUCUCUUAUCUGAUCCCACAGCUUCUCUGCAUCCACAUAAUUGAAGUGGUCACCGCUGGACAGGAAAUGUAAGGUUGAGUUGAUACCAUAUUCUUCUGGACAUUGUUAUUCUGAGUGGUGCCAUAAAUCUCAUGAGAAGACCCCAAGGGAAGAUGCAUCUCAGGCAGAACUGAAAAGAAGAAUUAAAGUCAAAGAAGAGGAGUUGAAGGCAUCUUUUGUUUCUUUUGUGGUGCAGCAAUUACAGCCUCUGUUUAAUCUGGUGUAAUAGUUGUCUCAUUAAAAGAUUUACUACAGUCAAAA